This 860-nucleotide ribosomal RNA is filed under the name uncultured fungus. RNAcentral describes it as "partial 18S ribosomal RNA". It matches the Rfam family "Eukaryotic small subunit ribosomal RNA", at positions 1218 to 1726 of the family's 1831-position model. Lineage: Eukaryota; Fungi. The record is from RNAcentral.
CCACCACGUGACCUUCAUUCCUACACUUGUCUGUACAACCUGUUACUAUAAUUCAUUACUCUGACGUCUUUCCUUUUGCUCUCAUUCCAUGGAGCAUUUACUGUCAUUCAUGGCAAUUUAAGGAUGAAUAAAUUCAAUCUAAACGAUAUCUUAGAUAUCUUAUUUUCAUAUCAUCGCUCCCAACAUCAUCUGCCAUGACGCGUAUAGAAUCAUACAACGACAUGGCCUAUCGCUAGGGCACGUACCGCGCGUCAGAUCGUGUUCGUACAUAACCUACUCACCUUCCUAUACUUCCGGUUCGGUUCAGCGCCGUUGGUCUUUACGCUAGUGUUUGUCACCCGGGGGUGACGUUGUUGAAUGUGCCUCACCCGGCUGCCUUUCCAGGUCUCCUCCCCCCCCCCGCCCCAAAAAGAAACACUAACUUGGAUAACCUGUCGGCCGGGCAUGCCCGAUCCUAGUUUACCGUGGUAACUACUCUGCUUAAUUUCGAUAACGAACGAGAUCUUAACCUGUUACACUAGCUCGCAUUUCUCCGGCAUUGCGCUGGCUUUCUUAGAGGGACUCUCGGCUCAACCCGAAGGAAGUUUGAGGCAAUAACAGGUCUGUGAUGCCCUUUGCUGUUCUGGGCCCGCACGCGCGCUACACUGACGGGGUCAGCGAGUUCCUUGGCCGAAAGGCCCGGGUAAUCUUGUUAGCCCCCGUCGUGCUGGGGAUAGAGCAUUGCAAUUAUUGCUCUUCAACGAGGAAUCCCUAGUAAGCGCAAGUCAUCAGCUUGCGUUGAUUACGUCCCUGCCCUUUGCACUCACCGCCCGUCAAGGGCGAAUUCCGGGGCCGCUAAAUCAAUCGCCCUAUAUUAAGCG